ACGAUCGUAGCCCAACGGUAGAGCGCCGGGAUGUCCCGGAGGUAGCUGGUUCGAGUCCAGUCGAUUGUG
RNAcentral lists this transfer RNA (69 nucleotides) under Rhizobiales bacterium GAS191. RNAcentral's name for it is "tRNA_Pro_GGG". It matches the Rfam family "tRNA". Rfam says of the family: Transfer RNA (tRNA) molecules are approximately 80 nucleotides in length. Their secondary structure includes four short double-helical elements and three loops (D, anti-codon, and T loops). The record is from RNAcentral. Lineage: Bacteria; Pseudomonadati; Pseudomonadota; Alphaproteobacteria; Hyphomicrobiales.